AAGUCGAGGGGCAGCACGAUCUUCGGAUUGGUGGCGACCGGCGCACGGGUGCGUAACGCGUAUAGAACCUACCUUUUACAGAGGAUAGCCCAGAGAAUUUGGAUUAAUACCUCAUAGUAUUAUAGAUUGGCAUCGAUUUAUAAUUAAACAUUUAUGGGUAAGAGAUGGCUAUGCGUCCUAUUAGUUAGUUGGUAAGGUAACGGCUUACCAAGACAUCGAUAGGUAGGGGUCCUGAGAGGGAGAUCCCCCACACUGGUACUGAGACACGGACCAGACUCC
Molecule: ribosomal RNA, 279 nt
Filed under: unidentified marine bacterioplankton
Lineage: Bacteria
Description: partial 16S ribosomal RNA
Rfam family: Bacterial small subunit ribosomal RNA
Source: RNAcentral